This is a long non-coding RNA of Tripterygium wilfordii, 763 nucleotides long. RefSeq lists it as uncharacterized. NCBI's taxonomy places the organism in Eukaryota, Viridiplantae, Streptophyta, Magnoliopsida, Celastrales, Celastraceae. The transcript is spliced from 4 exons. The record is from RefSeq and is a predicted model, not a curated record.
CAAAGACUCUUCUACCUCACGUAGAGAGCAACUACUUGAUUUCAUUUUUCUUUACCACGGAGUCUUACUUUUACAUGUCCUGCUUGCAAGGAUAGAGCAGCAGAGCCUUCUCACCGAUUUGCAAUCGGUGAACUGUGCCAUAUCACUAGGCAAGAAGUUGCAGGAAGCUAAUGUCACCCAAAAUGUGUACAAUCUUUGCAGUAUAAAACUCAUGGACUUCACUAUUUAAGUCCAAUCUAAUGGAGAGUACUUUGGUUGCCUUUUACCAAAGGUGCCUGUGGAUGCAACGUGUAACAAUCAAUCAGGGCUCGAUCGGUGUCACUUGUGAUCUUAAUGGCGAUGUUGAAGCUCCUUGGCCCUCUAACUCCUCUAUACCUUCUUCCAACUGCUAUAAGAUCGAUUAUGCCAAUAGACAUUAACUUCCCUUUGUCAAUCAUAUUGUCUUUUGACUCUGUUGCAAUAAGUUAUUUUCCUUUGUUUCUUUGUAUUUUCACUUCUAUGGCAUUUCAGGUAUCUAAACUUCAGCACUUCCCCUCAGCUACAUCUGCACAAGAUGGUCUUGAGACGAAACACUUACACCACUGAGUGCAUACUUGGCUUUUUGUUUCUCUAAUUUGGGUAAUAAUGGAUGCCAUGGCUUCCAUCAAUUCUUCUGGUCUGAUAGAAGAGUCCAUAUAAACAAUAAUUUAUCAAUUCCAUCAUCUGUAUUUAUCGUGUCUUCUUAUUCAUCCGCUACUCUUUCCAGUUUUCAAGGUUUCCAGUA